UCCGCCCUGGUGUAAUGGUAGCACGCGGGCUUUUGGUGCCUUGAGAUCUGGGUUCGAAUCCUGGGGGCGGAGCCA
RNAcentral lists this transfer RNA (75 nucleotides) under Actinomycetaceae bacterium. RNAcentral describes it as "tRNA-Gln". It matches the Rfam family "tRNA". From Rfam's summary of the family: Transfer RNA (tRNA) molecules are approximately 80 nucleotides in length. Their secondary structure includes four short double-helical elements and three loops (D, anti-codon, and T loops). The record is from RNAcentral. Lineage: Bacteria; Bacillati; Actinomycetota; Actinomycetes; Actinomycetales; Actinomycetaceae.